AGCGGCGGAUGGGUGAGUAACACGUGGGGAACCUGCCCCUAAGUCUGGGAUACCAUUUGGAAACAGGUGCUAAUACCGGAUAAUAAAGCAGAUCGCAUGAUCAGCUUUUGAAAGGCGGCGUAAGCUGUCGCUAAGGGAUGGCCCCGGGGUGCGUUGGCUAGUUGGUAAGGUAACGGCUUACCAAGGCGACGAUGCAUAGCCGAGUUGAGAGACUGAUCGGCCACAUUGGGACUGAGACACGGCCCAAACUCCUACGGGAGGCAGCAGUAGGGAAUCUUCCACAAUGGACGCAAGUCUGAUGGAGCAACGCCGCGUGAGUGAAGAAGGUUUUCGGAUCGUAAAGCUCUGUUGUUGGUGAAGAAGGAUAGAGGUAGUAACUGGCCUUUAUUUGACGGUAAUCAACCAGAAAGUCACGGCUAACUACGUGCCAGCAGCCGCGGUAAUACGUAGGUGGCAAGCGUUGUCCGGAUUUAUUGGGCGUAAAGCGAGCGCAGGCGGAAAAAUAAGUCUAAUGUGAAAGCCCUCGGCUUAACCGAGGAACUGCAUCGGAAACUGUUUUUCUUGAGUGCAGAAGAGGAGAGUGGAACUCCAUGUGUAGCGGUGGAAUGCGUAGAUAUAUGGAAGAACACCAGUGGCGAAGGCGGCUCUCUGGUCUGCAACUGACGCUGAGGCUCGAAAGCAUGGGUAGCGAACAGGAUUAGAUACCUUGGUAGUCCAUGCCGUAAACGAUGAGUGCUAAAGUGU
This 744-nucleotide ribosomal RNA is filed under the name uncultured bacterium. Its description in RNAcentral is "bacterial SSU rRNA". It matches the Rfam family "Bacterial small subunit ribosomal RNA", at positions 94 to 824 of the family's 1533-position model. The record is from RNAcentral.